Molecule: ribosomal RNA, 253 nt
Filed under: uncultured bacterium
Lineage: Bacteria
Also listed under: 1 other name
Description: partial 16S ribosomal RNA
Rfam family: Bacterial small subunit ribosomal RNA
Source: RNAcentral
UACGAAGGUCCCAAGCGUUAUCCGGAUUUAUUGGGUUUAAAGGGUGCGUAGGCGGGCUAUUAAGUCAGUGGUGAAAGCCCCAAGCUUAACUUGGGAAUUGCCAUUGAUACUGAUGACCUUGAGUACAUUUGAAGUGGGCGGAAUGUGUCAUGUAGCGGUGAAAUGCUUAGAUAUGACACAGAACACCGAUUGCGUAGGCAGCUCACUAAACUGUAACUGACGCUGAGGCACGAAAGCGUGGGGAGCAAACAGG